CUGUUGUGAGGGCUGUGAUGAAGUAUGGGAUGAAACAUUUUGCAGUAGAUGAGAACAGGCGUGACACCUACAACCACUCAUCGACUUCUGGACAUGAGCAACGUACCUUUUCCACCUUGGAUGGAGAAUUGAAGCAACUAAUUCCGGUGUGUUUUAUGUUUGUAUAAUGGCAAUAACAGUUAUUAAUGCAUUAGUUAGAAGAUUAUUGUAUGAGCUGUAUAGCUGGAAUGUGUGAUCGACCCUAUACUCAUUGAGUGCAGGUAAGGAAUCCUAAACUUUUUGUUUAUUAAUAAACUGCAUACAAAGUUGUGGUGCAGGUAGGCUUGCGCUGGUAAUUUGUUAUGUUUAUAUAUCUAGCCAAAAGGAUGUUCAAGUAUUCUGACAACUAGUGUUUAUGAGGGAACAAUAAAAAACUAUCCAGAUCAGCGGCAGAAUAGAAUGCUCAAUCCCUUAUAUUGACUAAUUCUUUUUAUCUCCCUCGAUUUUAUUUUGGUCAAUUGUAUUGUUUAUCAGGUUGGUUUGACUGCAGGAAAUGGUAAGCCUUUUUUCCCCUUUCAUUGUCCAUCAGGUUGGUUUGAGUGCAGAAAAUGGUUAUGCUACAAGCUUGGCACGUUUUGCUGCAAAUCUUGGACCUGUUGUGUGGAAAAUUGCUUCAAGGAAAAUUGAAAGUGUUUUGCCUAGUGGACUCAAGUUUGGUCCUGGAUGGGUUGUAGAAAACAGGACAGUUGAGCAGCCACAAUGUUCCUUAUCUGAUAAGCAUAGAACUCCGAAUUCUCUAUCUGAUAACCCUCCUGGCAGAUUUUUAUCUACAGCCACUUCUGGUUCAAACUCCAUUGCUGCAAGUAGAUUUCCUUUGCAAGGUAGAGAAGACAUGGAAGCUGUCGUAGGCCUAACUUCUCAAAAUGACUCGACUUCUGCACCUUCUCAUCAGCUUCAGCAAAGUCUUGUCCCACACUCGGGUAUCAAUGGUUCUAUUGGUGGGUUUGGGUUUGGUUAUUACUCUCAAAUGGGGUUGGUAACACAUUGUGUAAAUUCCUUGUCUGAAAAGACUUCAGUGCCGACUCAAACACAUGUCAUGGUUUCGGGUGCUAGUAAUUCUCUUCCAAAAGAGGCCAAGCUGGCAGAUAGUUCAAUCACUUUACAUUCUGGAAAUGCAAUGGCUGUGGAGCCUGAAAUGGUGUCACAUGCGGCAGCAACUAAUGUCGGGCUUCAGCGGAGUUCCUAUAAUGAACCGAAUUUCCUUCCAUUUGCUCCUGAUCUUAAUGUGAGAUUUCUGGCACUGGGUUCACCUAGUUCUAGUGUGCCAAUUGGUUCUUCCCAGCGCCCUGAUUUAGCAUUGCAGCUCUAAUAAUUAGCCAACACGAUUUCCGUAUGAUGUGGCUUGUAUGUGCUAAUUGUAGUAUUAGGUCAAGUACGCCUGUAUAUGAUAAUAAGAUUUGGUCGAAUUUACUGACUACAUUCUUCAUUGGAAGGUCGGUUGAGUAGUGGUUCCUCAAGAAGUCAUAGGAUCAUAUUGUCGGUGAGAUUUUGUACAGAUUGGUAUGUCAAAUUCUUUCACAGGGUUAAAAAAUUACAGAUUUGUAUGCAACAUACGGUAUCUAACAUUGUAUAUUUUGAGUUGUUAAUGAAUAUUGUUACCAAUACUACUACUGGUAUUACGUACGAGAUAUCAUUCAUGUCAUGAAUUAUGAAAUGUUCAUGUUUGUAGCAAUGAAGUAAUGCUUAAACUAAUUGAUGCAAAAUAGAGAGCAACUGAUUGCUAAGGGGGGUUGAGUGAUGUUAUAUAAAUUUCAAUUAUAUAUACUUGUGCAUAUAUAAUUAUCUUUAUGUGCAUAUAAAAUUGUCUUUAAAAUUGUGUCCCAUUAUCUAUUAUUAACCAUUGGGAAAACUAUAUCAACAAAUGAUGGUUUUCCAUACAAAUAUCACCAUGUGUCUUUGAUGCCUUUGGAAAUUAGAUCCGUAUAGGAUUACCUGUGUUGGUUUGUGAUAGGACAUGAUAGAGUCCAUGUGUCGCAUGAUUAGCGAAGUAUUCUAGCAAAUUAUAGUCCUUUGACGAGAUACAGAAAGUAUGACUUGGUAUCUUGAUGGACAAGAUGUGAGCCAUGCGAGGUACACUUAUGUCUGAGGUCUAACCAACUCCAACAUUACAUAUAACAUAUAAUUUAUUUAUGUAAUUCGUAUAACACAAAAUAUUAAAUAUUUGUAACAAUUUCUCUGAUUACAUAAAUAUUAUUAAUGUUGUAAUAAUUUGUGUAAUUAAAUAAUAUUUUAUAAGAUUACACUAAAUACUUUAAAAUUAUAAUAUUUUAAUUACAAAAUAUUUUGGAAAGCUCAUCCUCUUAUUUUGUGCUCAAGGUAAAAGUAAAGUAAUAGUUUAAUAGUAUAAUGAUUUAUUUGGCUCUCUAAUUUUAUAAAAAAGUUAUUUUAGUUAAUUUUUUUAUUUUUUUUGUCUUUUGUACAUGUUGAACUUUUAUUUUUUUAAAUUAUCCAAAAAUAGAUGAAAAAAUUAAUGUUAUUUAAUAUUACUGAUCUGGUAUAUACAUAGAUUGUCAUAUAGAUGAGAUGUUAGCAUUUAAUUAAAUUUUUAAAAAAUUUAAAAAGUAUUUUUUAUAAAAAAAUUAAAAAUCAUUAAAAUUUUUAAAACUUAAAAUAAUUAAUUGAAUACUGGUGUGUUAUCCACGUGAUGCUCUACAUGCAUGUAAUGUUAACAAAAUAAAAAAAAACAAUUUUUUCAUCUAUUUUAAAGUGAUUUAAUAAAAAAAUAUAAAUUUAAAGACAAAAAAAAAUAUCAAAAACUAAAAUAACCUUUUUAUAAAAUUAGAGGGUAAAUAAAUAUUAUACCUAAAUUGAUUUACCACAAAAGAGGUGCAACGCUGCAAAUCAAUGCAACUUAGUUUCACGUGAGUGCUGGGCACGCGGACAUCCUUCUAUUUCACGUGACUUUCCCUCCACGCUGGCAUCUGUUCCCCCCUCUCUUCUCCCAAUGUUCCUUCAUAUUAAAAACAUAAUAAAAAAGUAAAUAAUAUAAAAUAAAUAAAUCAAACAGAAAUCAAAAGAUUGUUUAGAUAGCAAAAAAAGAAGAAAAAAAAAAAACGAAAAGGAAAAAGCAAUGGGAGGUGGUGGUGGUGGUGAGAUAGCAGCGGAGACAAGGAAGAAGAGGAAGAAGGGAAGGCCCUCUCUCUUAGAACUUCAAAAACGCUCUCUCAAACAACAACAACUGCAGGAGCCGCAGCAACCGCAAUUGCUUCUUCAAAAAACCCCUAAUUCUUCUAUCAAUUCGAACCGCCGAUCCACUCGCCGCCACCCAAAUCUCAACGGUGGGUCCCCAGUUUCCGGAUCGAUUUCCGGAGGAGAAGACGACGACGACGACGACCGCCUACAGAAGAAGCAUAAACCAUUGCUUGGUUUCAAUUCUUCUCGUACUGAUCAGCAUUAUCCGAUUCCUUCGGCGCUCAAUUCGGCCUCCUAUGGGUCCGAUUCGAAUGCCGAUGGUGACAAUCCCGACGCGUCACUCAAGCGUCGCAAGUUUACCGCCGCCAAGGCUGGAUCUGAUCAAAUGGUGAUAAAUCAUACAUUAAUAUAUAGAUUUCGCGGGUUUUUUAAAGUCCUGGUUUUGAAACAGAAUCAAGAAAUUGAUUUUCCUACUUUAUUUGGAUAUUUUAUUUUAGGGUUUUAUUUUGGGAAUCGAAAAUAGCUUCUCAUGCGCCGAAAUUUUAUAAUUGCAACAGAGAUGAACGAAUGAGUUUGACUAAGUCAUGUACCUUUUUUUUAUUGGAUAUUGUUUCAACUUUUUGAUUUUCGGCUAAACUUCAAGUUGUUUUGAACAUAGUUUGUCUUCCUUUUCUUUCCCGAUUUACGAAUUUUCCAUUAUUAUUUUAUUAUUUCUUGUCUUGGAUUUAAUCCUUCCUUUAUUUUUGUGCAAAAUAAUAGAUGCACAGACCAUCAUGUCUGUAAAGCUUCAGUUUGUCUUUUCUUUUCUUUAAUAAUAAUACUUCAAAGUUUUUGUUUUUGUUUUUUUUUUUUGGUACUUGCUUUGCAUUGUUGUAGCUUUUUACUGUAACUUUCCUCAGUGAUUCUUCAAUAAUCAACGCAAGUAUCUCUUUUAAUAGUUUUUUUUUCAUUUAAUUUGGGAGUUAAAUAAAUAUAUGUAUUGACACGAGAGUUUAUCUUAUUUACAGGGAGAAAAGUUAUCGAAAGUGACGGACACUCUUCAUGGUAUAAGUCUAUCUCGGUUUUCAUGAAAAAAAGGCAUUUCUGGGAAUUCUUAGAAAAAAAGAAGUGUUGGGCUUUGUUAACUAUAUUAAUUUUAUUUCAUUUAUAUGUGGACAGGUUCACCGGUGGAGUCUGGCCCCACCCCCACGACGCCUUUGCCAGACAAAAAGUUGUUGGUGUUCAUUCUUGACAGGCUUCAAAAGUAUUUGUUAUUUUUGGCUCAUUUGAUUUUUUUUUUCUUAGUUUAUCUUCCGUUUGACGGGUUUUUAUCCUUUUUACUUAAUCUACUUCCAGGAAAGAUACUUAUGGGGUAUUCUCUGAGCCAGUAGAUCCUGAAGAGGUGCAUUUUGUUUUUCAUUCUUGCAUAAAUCUAGAUUACUGAAAAGUGAAAUCACGGUUCCUGAUAUAAUGUUUGAUUGGUCUUGAUACAGCUUCCAGAUUACCAUGAUAUUAUUGCACACCCAAUGGACUUUUCGACAGUCAGGAAAAAACUUGAUGAGGGAGCUUAUAUUACCUUAGAACAAUUUGAGGUUUGUUUUGCAAGCAUUCUCUUUGCUAAUGUGGAUAAAAUGUUCGUCUAUCCGUCUUCCUCCUGACAUAGUGGAGAGGGAAAGCCAACUAAGUUGUUUGACUGCAUUACUGUCAAUGGUGAUUAAGUUUCUGAUGUUAUUUUCUGGAUUUCUCUGGUUGAUGUGUGUUUUUGUAGCAAUUGUGUAUGGCAAGUCAAGUGUGUGUUGUCAGUCAAGCAAGUCCUUGAAGAAUACUGGAGGCAUGCUAUGCCUUUUGAGAUUACUGUAGUAAAGAUGUUGGCUAUGAUGUUUAAGUACUUCAUUAAGUUCACUUGUUUGGGAUAGCAUUUUGGCCUCUUAUGCCUGGAAGAUUCUUUAAUUUGGUUUGAGAAGAUAAUUACUUGCCUUUGUUUUUUACUGUUCGUAUGAUAUAUAAUUUAUUUGGUACUGCCAAUGGUUUGCCUAUGAUUUGUGGAAUUUGAUUGCAAAACUUGUUUUGUUUAGCAUGGGAUCUUACAGUGUUACUCUUUCCUAGCAGAUAACUAUAUAUGCUGUAAGUUGCUUUUUGUGGUUAACUGAGAAGAUGAAAAUCCUAAUGAAAUGAUUUUCAUGUCAGUAUAAAUGCCCUGGACCAGUGGGGAUAGUCUUUAGAUGCUACAAACAUGUAGUAAUCAAAACUUAGAUUUAGGGGAUAUAGUUUUUCUGGAAUGAUACUUGAUGUAUAACUGAAAAUUUGUGAGUUUGAUUCAUGCAGAUUGAUGUUUUCCUAAUAUGCUCGAAUGCAAUGCAGUAUAAUGCACCAGAUACAAUUUACUUUCGACAGGUUUGUCUAGGUCUCAAUUGUAUUAAUUCCUUUGUCAUGAUACUGUGGUCUCUGUUAUUUUAAACGUCUGGAUUGGAUGGUUAGGCACGAUCAAUGCAGGAGUUGGCUAGAAAGGACUUUGAGAAUUUGAGGCAAGAUAGUGAUGAAGGUGAACCACAAGUGAAAGUUGUGAGGAGAGGAAGGCCACCUGGAAAGAGCCUCAAAAAGUCAUUGGUUUCAUCGUCAUCUAUUGACCAUGUUGGUUCUGAGUACUCCUCAGAUGCAGCACUAGCUGCUGGACGAGAUGCUUCUAGCCUUUCAAACACUUACAAUUUGAGGAAAGCACCUAAUUCCCUCAAACUACGGCCUGCUGAUACAUUUAUCAGGCCCUCCUGGGGUUCUCCUAGCAAAGAAAAUCAUGCCAUUUGUUCAUCUGAAUGGGAGAAUGAAUUUCCAGGUUUGGUAUUUAUCUGACUUUAUAUACAUAUCCUUAAGUCUUUAGCUUUUUUAAUGUAAAAUGUUAUUUACUACAUAUUUUCUGUAUUUCAUAUUGAGCUAUUUUUCUUUCGUUUUGUAGCUUCUGUUGUGAGGGCUGUGAUGAAGUAUGGGAUGAAACAUUUUGCAGUAGAUGAGAACAGGCGUGACACCUACAACCACUCAUCGACUUCUGGACAUGAGCAACAUACCUUUUCCACCUUGGAUGGAGAAUUGAAGCAACUAAUUCCGGUGCGUUUUAUGUUUGUAUAAUGGCAAUAACAGUUAUUAAUGCAUUAGUUAGAAGAUUAUUGUAUGAGCUGUAUAGCUAGAAUGUUUGAUCUACCUUAGACUCAUUGAGCGCAGCUAAGGAAUCCUAAACUUUU
This 6383-nucleotide long non-coding RNA is filed under the name Gossypium raimondii (Peruvian cotton). RNAcentral's name for it is "long non-coding RNA (GRAI_LNC007011)". Lineage: Eukaryota; Viridiplantae; Streptophyta; Magnoliopsida; Malvales; Malvaceae. The record is from RNAcentral.